AUGGUAACUUGUAAGGUCAUCUUCGGGGCGACGGUACUUGUCAGGUCAUCAUGUAGACGUACUUUCGAAGAGGAACUUGUCGCGUCCCAAAAUGAGCAAGGCAGAAACCCUCAUUCAACGUCGCUCGAACUUGAUGAAAACCACGAACGGUUCUUGGCGUAUCCUGGUCUUGGAGAGGCCUAUGGAAAAGAACUUUGCAAAAAACCCCGAAGGCGCUGCUCAUUCGUUCGAAAGGGAAAGAAAACAGCGGCAGCAGCAGGCAUCGCAGGCACCGGGCGCGAUCGCCUGCAGAUGGCCGGAGAUGCAGUAGCAAAAGCAAAACAGCAGCAGCAGCUCCCGAAACUUGACAGCCCGUGGAGGUAG
Molecule: ribosomal RNA, 363 nt
Filed under: Triticum aestivum (bread wheat)
Lineage: Eukaryota; Viridiplantae; Streptophyta; Magnoliopsida; Poales; Poaceae
Description: partial small subunit ribosomal RNA
Source: RNAcentral